AUUUUACUCCCUCCGUCCCGAAUUACUUGUCGCAAAAAUGGAUGCAUCUAGACAUAUUUUUAGUUCUAGAUACAUCCAUUUCUGCGACAAGUAAUUCGGGGCGGAGGGGGUAUCUG
Non-coding RNA from Triticum aestivum (bread wheat), 116 nucleotides. Lineage: Eukaryota; Viridiplantae; Streptophyta; Magnoliopsida; Poales; Poaceae. The record is from Rfam.